This 736-nucleotide ribosomal RNA is filed under the name Bacillus sp. 9J. RNAcentral's name for it is "bacterial SSU rRNA". It matches the Rfam family "Bacterial small subunit ribosomal RNA", at positions 56 to 775 of the family's 1533-position model. The record is from RNAcentral. Lineage: Bacteria; Bacillati; Bacillota; Bacilli; Caryophanales; Bacillaceae.
UGCAGUCGAGCGGACAGAAGGGAGCUUGCUCCCGGAUGUUAGCGGCGGACGGGUGAGUAACACGUGGGUAACCUGCCUGUAAGACUGGGAUAACUCCGGGAAACCGGAGCUAAUACCGGAUAGUUCCUUGAACCGCAUGGUUCAAGGAUGAAAGACGGUUUCGGCUGUCACUUACAGAUGGACCCGCGGCGCAUUAGCUAGUUGGUGAGGUAACGGCUCACCAAGGCGACGAUGCGUAGCCGACCUGAGAGGGUGAUCGGCCACACUGGGACUGAGACACGGCCCAGACUCCUACGGGAGGCAGCAGUAGGGAAUCUUCCGCAAUGGACGAAAGUCUGACGGAGCAACGCCGCGUGAGUGAUGAAGGUUUUCGGAUCGUAAAGCUCUGUUGUUAGGGAAGAACAAGUGCAAGAGUAACUGCUUGCACCUUGACGGUACCUAACCAGAAAGCCACGGCUAACUACGUGCCAGCAGCCGCGGUAAUACGUAGGUGGCAAGCGUUGUCCGGAAUUAUUGGGCGUAAAGGGCUCGCAGGCGGUUUCUUAAGUCUGAUGUGAAAGCCCCCGGCUCAACCGGGGAGGGUCAUUGGAAACUGGGAAACUUGAGUGCAGAAGAGGAGAGUGGAAUUCCACGUGUAGCGGUGAAAUGCGUAGAGAUGUGGAGGAACACCAGUGGCGAAAGGCGACUCUCUGGUCUGUAACUGACGCUGAGGAGCGAAAGCGUGGGGAGCGAACAG